This 443-nucleotide ribosomal RNA is filed under the name uncultured bacterium. RNAcentral's name for it is "SSU rRNA". It matches the Rfam family "Bacterial small subunit ribosomal RNA", at positions 26 to 518 of the family's 1533-position model. The record is from RNAcentral.
AGAGCGAACGCUGGCGGCAGGCUUAACACAUGCAAGUCGAACGGACCCUUCGGGGUUAGUGGCGGACGGGUGAGUAACACGUGGGAACGUGCCUUUUGGUUCGGAACAACACAGGGAAACUUGUGCUAAUACCGGAUGUGCCCUUCGGGGGAAAGAUUUAUCGCCAUUAGAGCGGCCCGCGUCUGAUUAGCUAGUUGGUGGGGUAAAGCCUACCAAGGCUACGAUCAGUAGCUGGUCUGAGAGGAUGACCAGCCACAUUGGGACUGAGACACGGCCCAAACUCCUACGGGAGGCAGCAGUGGGGAAUCUUGCGCAAUGGGCGAAAGCCUGACGCAGCCAUGCCGCGUGAAUGAUGAAGGUCUUAGGAUUGUAAAAUUCUUUCACGGGGACGAUAAUGACGGUACCCGGAGAAGAAGCCCGGCUAACUUCGUGCCAGCAGCCGC